This 139-nucleotide unclassified non-coding RNA is filed under the name uncultured Lophiostoma. RNAcentral describes it as "sequence contains ITS1". The record is from RNAcentral. Lineage: Eukaryota; Fungi; Ascomycota; Dothideomycetes; Pleosporales; Lophiostomataceae.
CUGAGGGGCUUCGGCCCUUUCAAGAUACCACCCUUGCAUUUUGAGCACCUUCUGUUUCCUCGGCGGGCUCGCGCCCGUCAAUGGGGACCACACCAAAACCUUCUGUAGUUGCAGUAAAUGUCUAAAACAAAAUAAAUCA